Amphibalanus amphitrite is the source of this 1037-nucleotide long non-coding RNA. RefSeq lists it as uncharacterized. NCBI's taxonomy places the organism in Eukaryota, Metazoa, Arthropoda, Thecostraca, Balanomorpha, Balanidae. The record is from RefSeq and is a predicted model, not a curated record. The transcript has 2 exons.
CCAAUGAAUCUGUGAUGCACCCGGUGUCAGUCGUGUCACUGAGUCGCUGAUGAGCGGAGAUGGCACUCAGUCGUCCAGCAAUGGUCCUGUCGAUGCUGCUGCCACUGCUGCUGCUGUCGGCGACCGCAACGGCUAGCCCUCAACGUGAAGUGCAACCACUACCAAGAUGUCCGGACGGCUCUCUGAGUUAUGGCGGGAGUUGCAGUUUCCCUUCUUGCAGGUUGAUAAAGUGUCCAGGCACGAACGUCAUGGACUGUCAACAUAGAUGUCCAGUUCCACCUCCCGGUCCCGGCCCUGUCCUGGACGACUUUGUUAUAGUGACGAGCUGUCCGGUGAACUCGGAGCCGUGCAGCUCGUCAGUGGCGAACGGCCUGUGCUCCUCGGACGGUGGCUGCUCGGGCUCGCUCAAGUGCUGCCAGUUCGGCUACAAAGGCACCUGCCAGAAGACGUGUCUACCCGGGUGCCCGGCGUGCGCGGUCGGCAAGACGUGCCGCCUGGACCGGGCGCCGUUCCCCUGUGUGGGAUCCACCUGCCCGGCCAUCACGGCCUCCUGCCAGUCCUGAGCGGAGCGACGGACUGCGGUCCUCACGGCCUCCUGCCAGUCCUGAGCGGAGCGGGGGACUGCCGUCCGAUUCGUCCCUGCUACCAUCCCGAGCGGAGCGACGGGCUGCAGUCCGCACGGCUCCUUGUCAGUCCUGAGCGGGGGGACUGCCGUGCGACACGACCAGGCUGCGGCGAUCAGACGGCGCAGACGGCUUGUGUCGUAUUGCUGGCAGUCGCUGGUCGCUAUUUCUGCCGUUUUUUUCCUUUUCUUUGUAAUGUACGGGCAAAUGUGCCUCUGUGUCCGCAACACCAGGCAACGAAUAUCGUAACCCUUUCCCUCGGUGACAGGUGACAGCUGACAGGGUCACGGACAGGUGACUCUGCCUGUCCACACCUGACAGCUAACCGGCGAAUGACGCAGUUGUAUAGUAUUGGGAGACGUAGAGACGGAGUUGGAUUUAAAACAUUCAUCAAAUAAAGUUUGCACCCUGCUA